AUGCAGCUGACGAGUCCCGAAUAGGACGAAACGCGCGUCCUGGAU
Schistosoma mansoni is the source of this 45-nucleotide non-coding RNA. The record is from Rfam. Lineage: Eukaryota; Metazoa; Platyhelminthes; Trematoda; Strigeidida; Schistosomatidae.